CCCUUAGAUGUUCUGGGCCGCACGCGUGCUACACUGAGUGGAUCAGCGGGUCAGGUUGCGCGAAAGUGUUUCCUAAUCUUUAAAUCCGCUCGUGAUGGGGAUUGACGGUUGCAAUUUUCCGUCAUGAACGAGGAAUACCUUGUAAGCGCGGGUCAUCAUCCCGCGCUGAAUACGUCCCUGCCCUUUGUACACACCGCCCGUCGCUCCUACCGAUUGAGUGGUCCGGUGAGGCUUUGGGAUCUGGGCGGAAAGAGCGUUUCGCUGUUUCUGCCCGGAAAACUCAGUCGAACCUUAUCAUUUAGGGGAAGGAGAAGUCGUAACA
RNAcentral lists this ribosomal RNA (322 nucleotides) under uncultured eukaryote. RNAcentral's name for it is "partial 18S ribosomal RNA". It matches the Rfam family "Eukaryotic small subunit ribosomal RNA", at positions 1470 to 1796 of the family's 1831-position model. The record is from RNAcentral.